This 4313-nucleotide long non-coding RNA is filed under the name Sus scrofa (pig). RNAcentral's name for it is "lncRNA (ENSSSCG00045038807.1)". Lineage: Eukaryota; Metazoa; Chordata; Mammalia; Artiodactyla; Suidae. The record is from RNAcentral.
ACCAGAGGCACAGAAGAUAGAGGAAUAUCGUUGGAGGAGGCAUAAACCAAAGAGAUUGUAAAACACCUUCUAGACAUUCUUACUAUCUCAAGCUAUGUUUCCAUUACAGAAAGACCAUUCGCUCUCCUAGGCUAAUGUUUAUUGAAUGGUUUGCUAUAAUUGACUCACUAAUGAUGCAAUAGUAGAUCUUCUUUAAUCUGAUGUCCCUUAAUUAUUUUGUCUUUGGCUCACAAAGAGUUUGAGGGAGUCAAAUGACUGCUUCUGGUAGCCCACAGAAAUUAACCUUGAAAUUGAAAGAGGCUAGAGCUGGGAAUUUGUGGUUGAGAGUCCCAAUGAUAGCCAACAAUUUUUGUAUGCUCAACUUGUGCCAAUCUCAGUAAUGAGGCUUUCAUGGAUUAGCUCAUGUAAUUUUCACAAAAACUUCACAAAAGCUCUCUGAAGCAGGUGGUAGUAAUCCCCACAUUUUACAGGUGAGGAAACUGGCACAGACAAGAUUUUUGUAGCUUGCCAUAGGUCCCACAACUAGUCAUUUUUUACAGUGAGAUUCAAACAGAAGUCUUGGUGAUGUUUAAAUUGAGCUCUUAAUGCCUGAGGUAUUCUGCAGAGGUGAUUUCUAAGCCUUGAAUAUAGUGGAAAGCUGAGGUCACUUUUAUCUUAGAACAUGCCGCAUUCAGUGGAUGAGAGAAGUGAUGAGACAGCAAAGGACGUAGAAAGAAAGCCCCAUUAUGGUAACCAUGUAAGAGGGUUUAGAGGAGGAGAGAGUUAUUUUAAAAAGCUGCAGAGAAAUCAAGAAGAAGAAAUUAUUAGAUAGAUUAUGCAUCUUUGGGAACUUGGCCUCGAAAAGUUUUGAGUAGGACAUUUAAUCACAUCUCAGUAUGCCAUUCAUUUUUGAAGCUUCGGAUCAGUUUAUUUGUUGAUUAUCCUUGUGUAUUUAGUCUAGGACAAGAGUUUUGAACAUUUUUUUAGCAAAUGAGAGACUGACACUUUCUUCAUUUUUUUUGGUCCCAUUCCUUCCCUCCUCCAAAAUAAAUUAAUAAGUACAUAUAUAUAAAACAAAGGGGGGGGGAUAACAUGGUGUCUGCCUUACCGAGAACAAUAAGACUAGAAUUUUUUUUUUUUUAAAUCUUCCCCAGGAAGACUUAAAAGAAGGAACAUGCUCAAUUCUCAUAAAUAAAAUAUGACCUGGGCAAGGCUGUUCAUUUCCUUUUUUUUUUUUUCUCUUGGUGAUAGAGAAAUUGAAAUUGAAAAAGGGAGAGCAUAGAACAAACAUAACCCUCAGUUUUCCACUUCUGUGCAUUCUUUCCUGUUCUACAUUUUUCCUGCUGGUCAGGACAAAGUGCCACCACUGUUUUGACCAGCUGCUUUGGCAUGUUCCUAAACUGGUCUGUAGUAUUUGAUGUGGCUAAUCACCGCCUCCUCCUCAGAAGACUUUCUUCAUUGGACCCGGACAGUGCAGUCUUCCCAUGUUCCCCUCACCUCAUUGGCCGCCUGUGCAUUUCAUCCUCACCCACCUGACCUCUGAGCCUGUGGUACCCAGGCUUUCGUCCUCGGGCACCUUCUCUCUUUUGAUCUACAUCCAUUUCCCUUGGGAUCUCAUCUCAUGCUAGGGUUUAAAAUACCAUCUGAAGCUGUUGACUCCCAGAUUUAUUUCUCCAGCCUGGACUCCUCCAGUGAACUCCAGCCUUACAUGCUUUUAGCUUACUUGGCAUUUCUGUUUCUGUGUCACAUGGGAAUCUGAAAUUUAAAAUGUCCCAAACUGAGAUCCCAGUAUGUCACACCAUCUGUUCACUGACUGCAAUCCCUUGGUCUUCCUCAUUCUGAUAAAUGGCAACACCAUUCUUGCCAGUUGUUCAGACCAAAAAUUGAGGCACACUCUCUUUUUCUCACACCCAGAAGCAAUCCAUCGGCUUACGUUACUGGUUUUUCCCCCAAAUCAAUGUAACCAUUGCUCGUUUUCGGUGUUAAGUACUAGCCUGAUCUAUGCCAUCAUCAUUGCUUGCGGGGAUUAGUGAAUUAGGCUCCUAGCUGGUCUCAUGCCUGAUGCCUUGCUUUCCUCCCUCGUAACUAUAAUGGUCCUGUUAAAAUGUAAGUCACCUCAUAUAAACCUUCUGGUUCCACACUCUCCAGUGGUCAUUCAUGGAGAGCAAAACCCAGAAUUCUUUACAGUGGCUUGCAAGGCUCUACGUAGUCUGCCCCUACCGGUUGAUACUGAGAGCGUCUCCCGCAGCCCUCUCUGUGGAUCACUUCCUCUAGCCACACUGGUCUUCUUGAACUUACCCUUGAGCCUUUGAAUGUGAGUGCACGUGCACCAGCUGUCCCUGCGCGUCACCACCUUCAUACCUUUGAGUCUUCUCAAGCGUCACCAUCCCAGUGAAGCCUUUCCUGCUUAUCCUGUUUAUACUUGGCAUAUGCUCUACUUUUUGCUCUUUGUUUCCCUUAUCACGGUCUACAUUCUUGGAGAACAAUUUUUAAAAAUUUUUUCUAUCGCCCUCUCUACUUUAUCUUCCCUCUGGCUUAUUUCCUAACUCCUGCCACUAAGAAUGUAACUUACCCAAGGGCAAGAAUUUUUGUCUCUUUUGGUCACUAUUAUUUCCCCGUCACCUAGAAUGGUCCCUCACACAUGGCGAGGUCCUUAGAAAGUUUGAGUGAGUGGAUGACGUUUCAGAAAUGAUAGAAUCAGAGUAUGUUAGUAAAUGCGUCUUGAGAAUAAAAUUUUUCUCCUGCUUUCUAAGCUGUAGUCCCAAGAUGACGACUUUCUACCUCUGAACAAAGGUGCCUCUGAGUACCCAGAUCUUUAUCCCUAUGAACAGCCGUUGCCUAGUAGAGGCAGGGUGAUGGCAAAAGUGCAUAUUACCAUCUCCAAUUCUAUGGAGUCCCUAUGGCCCAGAAUGGUUUCAAAAUGCUAUUUCAUAAAGGCACACAAAUCCAGAGACCUUUGUCGUUUCCCUUAGUCUCUGCUGCAUUAGCUAAAGAUAAAUCUAUGCAGAGUUCACUGAAGAGAACAGACAACAGCAUUAAGCUGUGUAAUGAUGAACACUAAUGGCCUGUGACAAAGUGGGUCUCUCUAGGCUCAGCUGCCAUGCAAGGUGGGGAUUCUUCUCUCUUCUUGACAGUGGUAGUGAACAAACCAAACCAACAACAAUAUUGCAUCCAAACAUGCAAAGAAGCAACCUGCAAGCCAAGUUCAAGAGUUCAAGGUGAUUUUCAUGGUAUCUCUUUCUUUUUCCUUUUUCCUUUUUGUAAGCACAUGCCGCUUGGCUGUAAAAGGUAUGUGCGCUGUUGUACAGUGAUGGGGGACUGCGCUGUAUUAAGUAGAAAUGCUCCGACCUUUAUUCCCAGUAGCAACGUGAUACCGUUCUUUUGUUUCCUUUUUGGAGGCAUAGGCUUUGUCAUGCAAAUUGUUCAAUUGAGUUUUUUAGCUGCUUGUUAUUUUCACUCACAGACGCUUGUGAUAGUGAUUCAGAUUGGUCGAUUUCAUCUUCUGUGCAUUUCUUUUCCAUUCUUAAUUUAAGUGAGGAGCUUGUUUACUUAUGUGUCUUUCUCUUCCCCAUUAGACUUUCACAUGGGUAGCUGAGGGGUCUUGGCUAAAUUAGUCAACUUUUUCUAUUGCACAUGAUCCUUAGGAUCAAAUACACAUGGGUAGAAAUGCUUUAUGCACUACUGUAAACUUUUAAGUUAAUGAUGCCAGUGUGGCUAUUAGAACAGUGGAUCUCUAAGAUGCCUUUUAAUCUUAAAAUUAUUUUAAGAUUUCCCAAAGCAGUCUUUCUAGUAUAUUCUAUAAAUGUAAGUAAACGGAAUAUGGAAACAGAAAUCUUUCACGUUCAACUGUUAGAAAUCAUCGGUUUUACAUAUAUAUGUAAAGAGGUAUAGUUAGCCGUACUAUUGACGAAUCAGGCCUGGUCUAGGACUUUUUAGAACAUCUAUUCAGAAUGUCAGUAUGAGCUACACAUCCUGUAUUUUCAGCUUUGGCUUCUCAGAUAUUCAGAACACAUUUUACUCUACUGCAGGAUGACUCGACAACACGUUUCCUCCCUGCCCUCUGAAUCUCCGUGGAUGAUCUACCAAAAAAUAGCAUCUCCAUUUGUUACUGAAUAAAACCCUGCUAUGACUUGUGGCUAUAAAUCCAGUUUUAUUACCUUCUUCCAAAGUAAUUUCUGAUAAUUCAGCCAGACCUCUUACUUUUGCUUGCCGUUUUCAAGCUAGAUUCUUGAGUAAGAGGGCUAGCUCUAAUUUUAGUCUAAGAAGAAAGGAUUACAAGGCAAAUUUCAACACCCGGGUUUUGCUGCCUAAUCUACUAACUUUGUAUAGUCUAC